RNAcentral lists this ribosomal RNA (279 nucleotides) under uncultured methanogenic archaeon. RNAcentral's name for it is "partial 16S ribosomal RNA". It matches the Rfam family "Archaeal small subunit ribosomal RNA", at positions 1047 to 1325 of the family's 1478-position model. The record is from RNAcentral. Lineage: Archaea; Methanobacteriati; Methanobacteriota.
GAGACCCGUGCCCACUGUUACCAGCAUGUCCUCCGGGAUGAUGGGUACUCUGUGGGGACCGCCGGUGUUAAAUCGGAGGAAGGUGCGGGCCACGGUAGGUCAGUAUGCCCCGAAUCUCCCGGGCUACACGCGGGCUACAAUGGAUGGGACAAUGGGUCCCUACCCCGAAAGGGGAUGGUAAUCUCAUAAACCCAUUCCUAGUUCGGAUCGAGGGCUGUAACUCGCCCUCGUGAAGCUGGAAUCCGUAGUAAUCGCGUUUCAAUAUAGCGCGGUGAAUAC